RNAcentral lists this non-coding RNA (29 nucleotides) under Mus musculus (house mouse). Lineage: Eukaryota; Metazoa; Chordata; Mammalia; Rodentia; Muridae. The record is from RNAcentral.
UGAUAUGCCUUCCUGGUACUCCUGCAAAA